This is a non-coding RNA of Gossypium arboreum, 107 nucleotides long. The record is from Rfam. Lineage: Eukaryota; Viridiplantae; Streptophyta; Magnoliopsida; Malvales; Malvaceae.
AAUCGAUGCAUCGAACAUUUCUAAAUUAAGUCUUUAAAUCAUUUCCAAGCUUCAUAUAUUGUUUCAUCCUCCAAUUUUCGAAAAGAUGUGAUGUCAUUUCUAAGUUU